Cucumis sativus (cucumber) is the source of this 873-nucleotide long non-coding RNA. RefSeq lists it as uncharacterized. The transcript has 2 exons. Lineage: Eukaryota; Viridiplantae; Streptophyta; Magnoliopsida; Cucurbitales; Cucurbitaceae. The record is from RefSeq and is a predicted model, not a curated record.
ACUCAUAAAAGUUUGUUUCUUUAAGAAAGUUUUAAAUAAAAAAGGAAUAAUUUUGAAUAUGGGGUUCGCUAUCAAAUCCACUUUUGAUGAGUAUAAAAAUCCUCCAAACUUAGCUAUGCAUUAACCAAGCAGAAUUCCUUCCAGUCCUAACACAAAAGCUUCAACUUUUAUUGCAUCAAUGGCAUGCCAACAAGGCACCAAGCCAGCUGAUCGCCAUGGCCAGCACCACCACCAUCGCCGGCACCCGCACCCGCACCCGCACCAGCAUCCUCACCCGCACCAGCAUCCUCACCCGCACCCACACCAGCAUCCGCACCCGCACCCGCACCCGCACCAGCACCCGCACACCCGCACCCACACCCACACCACCACCACCACCCACCACCACCACCACCACCACCACCAACAACAACAUGAACACCAUUGCGUCGGCAUCCAUGCACCCGACAAGUGCAACUGCGCCUUCAAAGGCCACCAUCACGACCAUGCUCCACCGGCACCAGGCGCGGUGCACCACUCUGGCAAUGACUGCAACUGCAAGGAAAGUGGGUCAAAAAAGAAGAAGGAACACAAAGAGAAAAAGGAAGGAUGUUCGUUGCAUAACAUCAAGGAAGCCUUUUCUGACCAUAGCAGUGAUAGUAGUGACGGUGAAAAUGAAUGUCACAAUUAAAAGAAAUGAACGGAGAGAAGGAAGGUGCAUCAAUUAAAAGAACAGUGUGGAUGCCUCUAAACUAGCUACUACUACUAUGAAUUUGCGUGAAGCAGAAAUAAAGAUACACUAUGUUGUAUAAAGAUGAUAAUUUAUAAGACUUUACUGUACCUAUUUCUUUCUUGUUUGAAAUAAAACUUCUGUAUUCCUAUCCUUGUUAUCGA